Molecule: long non-coding RNA, 2402 nt
Organism: Anguilla rostrata (American eel)
Lineage: Eukaryota; Metazoa; Chordata; Actinopteri; Anguilliformes; Anguillidae
Exons: 3
Source: RefSeq, a predicted model, not a curated record
CACAAUGUUAGGAGUUGCUACUAACCGUUGUUUGUUCCAUUUUCAAAUUUCAAACUGGAAUGACCGAAUCCGAACAUCACGAUUCUGUGCGAUUUCAUUGGAAGCGCUGGACAAGAAGAAUUGUCCAGUUUAAAUGGGGGUAGACCGCAGAGUGUAGUCGAUAAUAUUUUCUUGUACCCGGUUAGAUAUGUGAUUAUUAGAUAUAAAGUACCAACUGAAAAUAUAUGUAUAAUACAUUCUAUGUAUAAAAAUAUACAGUUAUUUAUUCUGUGACAUAAUUGAAUAUUGUAUGCAAAUGGUAUAGCCUGGAUAUGUAGAGUAUAUAAGCAGGUCAUUUGCUGUCAGUUGGCCAAUUGGCAGCAGGUUGGUGUAAUUGUAUGGGUGCAGUUGAUGUGCUGAUUCUUUUGAUUUGUACAAGUAUAUAAAUAUUGGUGUAACAGUUGGGGGCACUUUUGUAAAUAAAACACCCCACCUGAGUUGCACAAGUUUGAAUGUCAUCACCAAAAUUCACUAUAAAAUCCGUCCGUCCUCAUAACAAUCACCCACAACAUUUCUGAUGGACCACUGAUGGAACGUUCGGAAUGUGAACAACACACUUGCAGCGGACGUUAAGUUAUCAACAACCACAGCUGGCACAGAUACAGACACUACCGCUCUAUUUUGGAAAGCUUGUGACGGACAAAAUCUCUGGAAAGGGAUCAAGAGUUGUCUGCAGCCAUCAUUUGUGGAUGAAUAGUCUGACAAAAAUGGGAACAAAGCCUAGCGCCCGAGACGAAGGACAUCAUCUGCCUGGCCGGACACAGUGCCCUUGAUUACACUGCUAGGAGGGCAUUUGUACAACACAGCGGCAGAGUGGAAUGGAGAGCAUUCUGGGAAUACUCGGCUCCCUGGACUCAUUAUUGGAUAAUAGAUUUUCCAGGCAUCAUUGCGGGCGUCUCGUCGGCAGUCCCUGCACACACAUUGCCAGUGGCAGGGGCCAGAGUGACAGGGUCGAGGAGCCACAAAAUCGAAAAAAGCCAAGCUGCAACAAGAGAACUGGGCUGUCCAGCAGGAUCAGUUAUCUUGUGCUUUCCAUGGCCAACAUUGUUUGGACAUAUGGUGCUGUGUAAAUAAUGCCCUGCGCGCGCAUUGACUUUUAUGAUGUUGCUGCAUAACUACCCGAGUUUAUCAUUUCAUAUUAUUCAAAUUUUAUCACAAAUUGACAUUUGUUAACCCAUAACAAUCAACUAAUUUCCCCCUAUUAGGGAGUGUAUGUUCUUCAUAUUCAAUGGAGAUUAUUGCCAACUCAAAAUGGCAGCGAUGCCUUCAUUCAUGGGUAUGUUUCAUACUCAGAAUUUUCUAUUCAGUACAAGAGCUUCAUGAACUGGGAGUUCAUGGUGUCUGUCUCUGAACAGUUCUUGGCUUGAAGAGGGCUUAAUUAACAUGUACACAUGUGCUUAUGAGGAAGGAUCUAACAUCUUUUCCUCAGCCGUGGUAUCUCACUUUGGACACAAGUCAGAGACACUGUUUACACUAAACAGGGAGUCUGUUCUAAAUAUACUGCCCUUCUGCCAUAUGCAGUUUACCCAACCAUUUGUGUAUGGGCUCUGCUGUGUCUGUUCACAAGGUAGACACUUCAGGCCCCCUAACAGAAACGCUUGUCGACAGGGCUAGGAAGACACGGGGGGUGGGCUCUGUCCCCUUGCGUUAGCGGCUCACUGACAUGACGACAGGUGCAAGGGCAUCCCGGCCCAGCAGAAUUCACUCUCCAUUCCUGACACACAGUUGGCUGAACCUCACUGGCUCUCAGACGGGGGUCAUCUUAAGCCAGUCGAGCAGAAGAGUCGUGGAUUAAACAGCACCCCGUUCCCCAAAGAGGGGGAUGUUUCAGUUUGACGGGCUGUACUUUGCGGCCGAGUGGACGGCUCCCACGUCCGGCCGUAGCCCUCUCUCCUGGGUGUGUCAGCCUGUCAGUGCAGAUGGCUGUGAGGAGCAAGGAACUCUCCCAGAACUGAAUCGGAUGCAUGCCCCUGGCCCACCCGUGGGCCCCAAUAAGGUGUCAUCCGCAGUUCAAUGCAUCACGCAGAAGCGGUUUGGGAUUAAACCGACACAUUUGCGCCGUGAUAUUUGCCCCCUUUUUCCCCCAAGAGUUAACUGACUCACCACCGCAAACAGCCAGGUCCCUCCUCUCAGGAUUGUUGUCAUUCAGUUACCCCAGGGGAAGAAAGGAUGGCUCCUUUCUUAUUUGAUGAGAGAGCCGUGUGAAUCACACCUGUUCACCUAAAUCAAAAUAGUUUUUGAAACAGACACUGUGUAUGCAGUGAAGAUGACACUACGUCUCCUUUUUGUUUUGAAAAUUCAUUUUUCUUUGAAUUGGUAAUGUGAUUCCCGUUCUUUUUGAACUGGGUCCAAUUUGUGUUGCA